This 466-nucleotide ribosomal RNA is filed under the name uncultured Thiobacter sp. RNAcentral describes it as "bacterial SSU rRNA". It matches the Rfam family "Bacterial small subunit ribosomal RNA", at positions 335 to 793 of the family's 1533-position model. Lineage: Bacteria; Pseudomonadati; Pseudomonadota; Betaproteobacteria; Burkholderiales; Thiobacteraceae. The record is from RNAcentral.
ACUCCUACGGGAGGCAGCAGUGGGGAAUUUUGGACAAUGGGGGCAACCCUGAUCCAGCCAUGCCGCGUGUGUGAAGAAGGCCUUCGGGUUGUAAAGCACUUUCGGACGGAACGAACUCGCACGAUCUAACAAGUCGUGUGGAUGACGGUACCGUAAGAAGAAGCACCGGCUAACUACGUGCCAGCAGCCGCGGUAAUACGUAGGGUGCGAGCGUUAAUCGGAAUUACUGGGCGUAAAGUGUGCGCAGGCGGCAGAGCAAGUCGAGUGUGAAAGCCCCGGGCUUAACUUGGGAAUGGCGCUCGAAACUACUUUGCUGGAGUGUGGCAGAGGAAGGUGGAAUUCCACGUGUAGCGGUGAAAUGCGUAGAGAUGUGGAGGAACACCAAUGGCGAAGGCAGCCUUCUGGGCCAACACUGACGCUCAUGCACGAAAGCGUGGGGAGCAAACAGGAUUAGAUACCCUGGUAG